AUACUUACCUGGGCGGGGUCGAUGGCUGCUCAUCAAGGGCCAUGGCCUAGAUUAGUGACCUCCAUUGCACUUGGGAGGGGUACUCGUCUAAGAUCUGCCCAGAGUGGCAGAGUCUACGUCAUAAUUUGUGGUAGAAGGGGUUCGCGUGCGCGCGACCCCUG
RNAcentral lists this small nuclear RNA (161 nucleotides) under Vitis vinifera (wine grape). RNAcentral's name for it is "U1 spliceosomal RNA". It matches the Rfam family "U1 spliceosomal RNA". From Rfam's summary of the family: U1 is a small nuclear RNA (snRNA) component of the spliceosome (involved in pre-mRNA splicing). Lineage: Eukaryota; Viridiplantae; Streptophyta; Magnoliopsida; Vitales; Vitaceae. The record is from Rfam by way of RNAcentral.